This 524-nucleotide ribosomal RNA is filed under the name uncultured bacterium. RNAcentral's name for it is "partial 16S ribosomal RNA". It matches the Rfam family "Bacterial small subunit ribosomal RNA", at positions 28 to 523 of the family's 1533-position model. The record is from RNAcentral.
GACGAACGCUGGCGGCGUGCCUAAUACAUGCAAGUCGAGCGCAGGAAACUGACGGAACUCUUCGGAGGGAAGGCAGUGGAAUGAGCGGCGGACGGGUGAGUAACACGUAAGGAACCUGCCUCAAGGAUUGGGAUAACUCCGAGAAAUCGGAGCUAAUACCGGAUAGUUCAACGGACCGCAUGGUCCGUUGAUGAAAGGCGCUCCGGCGUCACCUUGAGAUGACCUUGCGGUGCAUUAGCUAGUUGGUGGGGUAACGGCUCACCAAGGCGACGAUGCAUAGCCGACCUGGGAGGGUGAUCGGCCACACUGGGACUGAGACACGGCCCAGACUCAUACGGGAGGCAGCAGUAGGGAAUCUUCCACAAUGGACGAAAGUCUGAUGGAGCAACGCCGCGUGAGUGAUGAAGGUUUUCGGAUCGUAAAACUCUGUUGUAAGGGAAGAACACGUACGAGAGGAAAUGCUCGUACCUUGACGGUACCUUACGAGAAAGCCACGGCUAACUACGUGACAGCCGCCGCCGUAA